GAUGAACGCUGGCGGCGUGCCUAAUACAUGCAAGUCGAGCGAACAGACGAGGAGCUUGCUCCUCUGACGUUAGCGGCGGACGGGUGAGUAACACGUGGAUAACCUACCUAUAAGACUGGGAUAACUUCGGGAAACCGGAGCUAAUACCGGAUAAUAUAUUGAACCGCAUGGUUCAAUAGUGAAAGACGGUUUUGCUGUCACUUAUAGAUGGAUCCGCGCCGCAUUAGCUAGUUGGUAAGGUAACGGCUUACCAAGGCGACGAUGCGUAGCCGACCUGAGAGGGUGAUCGGCCACACUGGAACUGAGACACGGUCCAGACUCCUACGGGAGGCAGCAGUAGGGAAUCUUCCGCAAGGGGCGAAAGCCUGACGGAGCAACGCCGCGUGAGUGAUGAAGGUCUUCGGAUCGUAAAACUCUGUUAUUAGGGAAGAACAAAUGUGUAAGUAACUAUGCACGUCUUGACGGUACCGAAUCAGAAAGCCACGGCUAACUACGU
RNAcentral lists this ribosomal RNA (496 nucleotides) under uncultured bacterium. RNAcentral's name for it is "partial 16S ribosomal RNA". It matches the Rfam family "Bacterial small subunit ribosomal RNA", at positions 28 to 506 of the family's 1533-position model. The record is from RNAcentral.